ACGGAGGGUGCAAGCGUUAAUCGGAAUUACUGGGCGUAAAGGGCACGCAGGUGGCUUGGCAAGUCGGAUGUGAAAGCCCCGGGCUUAACUUGGGAGUUGCAUUCGAUACUGCCGAGCUAGAGUAUGGGAGAGGAAAGCGGAAUUCCCGGUGUAGCGGUGAAAUGCGUAGAUAUCGGGAGGAACAUCUGUGGCGAAGGCGACUGCCUGGACCAGCACUGACACUGAGGCACGAAAGCGUGGGGAGCAAACAGGA
This 253-nucleotide ribosomal RNA is filed under the name uncultured prokaryote. RNAcentral's name for it is "partial 16S ribosomal RNA". It matches the Rfam family "Bacterial small subunit ribosomal RNA", at positions 525 to 777 of the family's 1533-position model. The record is from RNAcentral.